This 253-nucleotide ribosomal RNA is filed under the name Fimbriiglobus sp. RNAcentral describes it as "partial 16S ribosomal RNA". It matches the Rfam family "Bacterial small subunit ribosomal RNA", at positions 524 to 776 of the family's 1533-position model. RNAcentral also lists the same sequence under 1 other name. Lineage: Bacteria; Pseudomonadati; Planctomycetota; Planctomycetia; Gemmatales; Gemmataceae. The record is from RNAcentral.
GACGAACCGAGCGAACGUUGUUCGGAAUAACUGGGCUUAAAGGGCGCGUAGGCGGGCCGCCAAGUUCGAGGUGAAAUCCUCCGGCUCAACCGGAGAACUGCCUCGAAUACUGGAGGCCUCGAGGCGGGUAGGGGCACGCGGAACUGUGGGUGGAGCGGUGAAAUGCGUUGAUAUCCACAGGAACUCCGGUGGCGAAGGCGGCGUGCUGGACCCGAUCUGACGCUGAGGCGCGAAAGCCAGGGGAGCAAACGGG